This 240-nucleotide long non-coding RNA is filed under the name Phoenix dactylifera (date palm). RNAcentral describes it as "long non-coding RNA (PDAC_LNC011156)". Lineage: Eukaryota; Viridiplantae; Streptophyta; Magnoliopsida; Arecales; Arecaceae. The record is from RNAcentral.
AUGGGGUUGGGCUCCAAUAACUGUUAGGUGAGGACCCAAUGACGGCUUUAUUUCUGCGGGAUAUAUGGUGGGUCUGACUUAACCAAGGAACGGGGCCAAUAACUGUUAGGUGAGGUCCUUAUGACUUGGAGACCAAGUUGGCUACAACUUGCUUGAGAAGCAUUGUACAAGAAGUUGUACACUCAUCGUUUAUAUGUCACCAAUAACUGUUAGGUGAGGUAACAUGUAAAUUGGUGGGAC